AAUAUUUACUUUAUAGAAAUGGUUUAGUGUCGUCAGAAAAAGUCCGUUAGCAUCUCCACUGUAAGGCUAACUACAAGAGUAUGUUUAUGUUCUUGGUUCUUCCAUGCUGAUGGCUGUGCUCUAGAGUCAUAUCUCCUGUCGAAGAACAUUUUUAGACAUUAUGAACCAUGAAAAAGUUUAGCUCCAACCCCAGUUAAGCAGAUCGGGGCAGCUGAUCAAGGAUCACCAGAAACUCUGCAGAACAUUGGUCCUCCAGCCCAGGACUGGACACCAGUCAUUAAUCUAGAAGUAAUCCUGCCUCUUUGAAGUGUCAUGUUCAGAAUAUAUUACAGGAGAUCUCAACAUUGU
This is a long non-coding RNA of Cyprinus carpio (common carp), 348 nucleotides long. RefSeq lists it as uncharacterized. The transcript has 3 exons. NCBI's taxonomy places the organism in Eukaryota, Metazoa, Chordata, Actinopteri, Cypriniformes, Cyprinidae. The record is from RefSeq and is a predicted model, not a curated record.